Molecule: ribosomal RNA, 114 nt
Filed under: uncultured bacterium
Lineage: Bacteria
Description: partial 16S ribosomal RNA
Rfam family: Bacterial small subunit ribosomal RNA
Source: RNAcentral
CGUUCCCGGGCCUUGUACACACCGCCCGUCACACCACGAGAGUUUGUAACACCCGAAGUCGGUGGGGUAACCUUUUGGAGCCAGCCGCCUAAGGUGGGACAGAUGAUUGGGGUG